AAAAAGGCAAACCCUGGGUUUCCGUGUCCAACUUUGACUGUCCGUCUUAUAUGAAAUUUUUUUAUAAUUCGUAUUUUCAUUGUUGUUAGAUCAUAUUGUUGUUAUCAUAAAACAUGAUUAAUAUUUUAGGCGUGACUUAUCUUUUUAAUUUUUUCAUAUUUUUUUUAAAUAAGACGGACGAUCAAACGUUAAGCACGGAAACCAGGGUUUGUCUUUUU
MicroRNA precursor from Oryza rufipogon (brownbeard rice), 218 nucleotides. It matches the Rfam family "MIR812 microRNA precursor family". The record is from Rfam. NCBI's taxonomy places the organism in Eukaryota, Viridiplantae, Streptophyta, Magnoliopsida, Poales, Poaceae.